GGAAGAAAAGGUUCUGGUUAAUACCUGGGACUCAUGACGGUACCUGAAGAAUAAGCACCGGCUAACUACGUGCCAGCAGCCGCGGUAAUACGUAGGGUGCAAGCGUUAAUCGGAAUUACUGGGCGUAAAGCGUGCGCAGGCGGUUAUGCAAGACAGAGGUGAAAUCCCCGGGCUCAACCUGGGAACUGCCUUUGUGACUGCAUGGCUAGAGUACGGUAGAGGGGGAUGGAAUUCCGCGUGUAGCAGUGAAAUGCGUAGAUAUGCGGAGGAACACCGAUGGCGAAGGCAAUCCCCUGGACCUGUACUGACGCUCAUGCACGAAAGCGUGGGGAGCAAACAGGAUUAGAUACCCUGGUAGUCCACGCCCUAAACGAUGUCAACUGGUUGUUGGGAGGGUUUCUUCUCAGUAACGUAGCUAACGCGUGAAGUUGACCGCCUGGGGAGUACGGCCGCAAGGUUGAAACUC
RNAcentral lists this ribosomal RNA (466 nucleotides) under uncultured bacterium. RNAcentral's name for it is "bacterial SSU rRNA". It matches the Rfam family "Bacterial small subunit ribosomal RNA", at positions 443 to 902 of the family's 1533-position model. The record is from RNAcentral.